GGACACGUGCCAGAGCGGCCGAAUGGACUUCACUGCUAAUGAAGGGUCCGCCGAAAGGUGGACCGGGGGUUCAAAUCCCCCCGUGUCCGCGA
This is a transfer RNA of 92 nucleotides. It matches the Rfam family "tRNA". Rfam says of the family: Transfer RNA (tRNA) molecules are approximately 80 nucleotides in length. Their secondary structure includes four short double-helical elements and three loops (D, anti-codon, and T loops).